This 213-nucleotide long non-coding RNA is filed under the name Hordeum vulgare. RNAcentral's name for it is "long non-coding RNA (HVUL_LNC012359)". Lineage: Eukaryota; Viridiplantae; Streptophyta; Magnoliopsida; Poales; Poaceae. The record is from RNAcentral.
UUGAUAUGGAAUAUUAAACGGAGUCCAAACGGAAUAAAAUCUCCGAAGAAUUUAGAAUAUAGUAAAUAUUACAUCAAUAUAAAUAAAGAGUGAGUUCACAAUAGUACCUAAGUGGUGAUUUAUCUUUCUUACACUAACGCAUCUCAUGAGUUUUCUGUUGUGAAGUUUUCGAGUUUUGGGUAAACAUUUGAUGGACUAUGGAAUAACGAGUGG